Molecule: RNA transcript, 8184 nt
Organism: Mus musculus (house mouse)
Lineage: Eukaryota; Metazoa; Chordata; Mammalia; Rodentia; Muridae
Gene: Sfmbt1
Gene name: Scm-like with four mbt domains 1
Exons: 23
Source: RefSeq, marked validated
CGCGUCGGCCGGCGGGGGCUGCGGGGACGCGCCCGGGCACCUCGCGGACGCGGCGGAGGCCGGCGGCGCCGGGAGAGAGAGAGAGAGAGGGAGAACGGGCGAGCGGCGCGCGUCAGCCCAGCUGGGCGCGAGAGGCCAAAGUGGCCGGGUGGCGGUAGCGGGCUCCCAACUUGCAGGCUCCGGUCCCCUGCCCCCAUCGAGCGGCCUCCCGCCGAGCCCCCGCGGACCCGCCCCCCCGGGCUCGCUCCGGGCGGGGCGCGAACCCGCAGCCCGCGCGGCCGCUCAACUUCUCAGGGCCUAGGCGGCGGCGGCAGCGGCAGCAGCAGCAGCGGCGGCGGCGACAGCAAGCGCGGUGGCCGAGUCUGAGCCUCCACCGCAACCGGUGGCUCCGGCCUCUCAGGCGCUUCGCCUGGGGAGGCACCGCCGCCCGACCCCCUGCGCGGAUCUGGGGAGCGUCCUGAGGCCGCUCGGCAGACAAGAUUAGACCUCAGACUUGCCAUGUAACAAAGGAUGACUUUAGAACUUUUGCUCUUCCUGUCUCCAUCUCCCAAGUGCUUGGAUUCUAGAUCCGUGGAUGCCACUGGACAGAAACUUGACGCUUCAGAUCAUCUUGGUAACAUAGCAGAGCCCUCGGCCUACUCAUUACUUGGGGGAGAGGUAGCCCCUGUGCUGUGGAGAUGAGCGGGGAGCAGCAGCUUGAUGCAGAUCUUGGGUCUGGUGUAGAAGUAGAAGAAUUCAGCUGGGAAGAUUAUCUAGAAGAGACAGGCUCCACCACAGUUCCCUACGCAUCGUUUAAACAUGUGGAUAUACGUUUGCAAAAUGGAUUUGCUCCUGGGAUGAAGCUGGAGGUAGCUCUGAAAAAUGACCCUGAGACUUAUUGGGUUGCCACCAUCAUCACCGCCUGUGAGCAGUUGCUCCUGCUUCGUUAUGAAGGCUAUGGGGAAGACCGAAAAGCAGACUUCUGGUGUGACAUCAGGAAAGCUGGCCUCUACCCCAUUGGGUGGUGUCAGCAGAACAAGAAGACCCUCGAAGCUCCAGAAGGCAUCAGAGAUAAAGUGUCUGAUUGGAAUGCAUUCCUACAGCAGACCCUGAUAGGAGCCUGUGGUCCUCCCGUGUCUCUGCUAGAGGGCCUCCGUAAUGGAAGGAAUCCUUUAGAUCUCAUUGCUCCAGGGUCCAAACUAGAAUGCCAGGAUUUUCGGGACUCUUUAAGCACUUGGCUUGUUACUGUUGUGGAGAACAUUGGGGGACGGUUGAAGCUGCGGUAUGAAGGCCUUGAGAGCCGUGACGGUUUUGAACACUGGUUGUAUUACUUAGAUCCAUUUCUUCAUCACAUUGGUUGGGCUGCUCAGCAAGGAUGUGACCUUCAGCCCCCAUUAGCCAUCAAACAUCUGAAGAGUGAAGCUGACUGGCAAGAGAUUUUGGCCAAAGUGAAAGAGGAAGAGCCAUUACCCUCUUACUUAUUUAAGGAUAAGCAAGUUAUUGGAACCCAUGAAUUUUCUAUAAACAUGAAGUUGGAAGCUGUGGACCCGUGGUCUCCUUUUGGGAUUUCUCCUGCAACGAUUGCUAAGGUGUUUGAUGAUAAGUACUUUCUAGUGGAAAUGGAUGACCUUCGGCCAGAAGACCAUACAAGGCGAUCAUUUGUGUGCCAUGCUAACAGUCCUGGUAUCUUUCCUGUGCAGUGGAGUCUAAAGAAUGGUUUACAUAUCAAUCCUCCUCCAGGCUUCCGGAGCCAGGACUUUGACUGGGCCGACUACCUCAAGCAGUGUGGGGCUGAAGCUGCUCCCCAGAAGUGCUUCCCGCAGAAAAUAAAUCUCACUUUCUGUAGGGAAGGGAAAGACACAAUUACCCUGAGUCAAUUUCUGAGCACCAGUUUAAGGAGAACAUGAAACUGGAGGCAGUGAACCCUCUUUUCCCUGAAGAAGUGUGCAUUGCCACCGUUACUGCAGUGAGAGGCUCGUACCUGUGGCUCCAGCUAGAAGGUUCUAAGAAGCCUGUACCCGAAUUUAUUGUAAGUGCAGAGUCGAUGAAUAUAUUUCCUUUGGGCUGGUGUGAAACCAAUGGCCAUCCUCUCAGUACUCCUCGCCGGGCACGAGGGCAUAAACUGAGGAAAAUCGCAGUGGUUCAACCAGAAAAACAAAUACUGUCUUCAAGAACUGUCCACGAGGGCCUGAAGAAUCAGCUGAACUCUACCCACUCAGUGAUGAUCAAUGGAAAAUACUGUUGUCCAAAGAUAUACUUCAACCACCGUUGCUUCUCAGGGCCAUAUCUUAAUAAAGGAAGAAUUGCUGAGCUGCCUCAAUGUGUGGGACCUGGGAACUGCGUUCUGGUACUUAGAGAGGUUCUUACUUUGCUUAUCAACGCAGCAUACAAACCCAGCCGCGUCCUCCGUGAGCUCCAGCUGGACAAAGACUCUGUGUGGCACGGAUGUGGGGAAGUCCUAAAGGCCAAAUAUAAAGGAAAGAGUUACCGAGCUACUGUUGAGAUAGUGAGAACAGCAGACCGAGUGACUGAAUUCUGCCGGCAAACAUGCAUCAAGCUGGAAUGUUGUCCCAACCUCUUUGGUCCACGCAUGGUUCUGGAUACAUGUUCUGAGAAUUGCUCUGUCCUUACAAAGACCAAAUACACGCACUAUUAUGGAAAGAAGAAAAAUAAGAGAAUUGGGAGGCCACCCGGUGGGCAUAGUAAUUUAUCUUGUGCCCUGAAAAAAAGCAGUAAGAGGAGAAAAAGGCGGAAGAAUAUUUUUGUUCAUAAGAAGAAGCGUUCUUCUGCAUCUGUUGACAAUACCCCGGUGGGCUCACCCCAGGGAAGUGGGGGUGAAGAUGAGGAGGAUGCAGAUGAUGGAGACGAAGACUCCCUGACUGAGGGCAGUACAUCCGAGCAGCAGGAGGAGUUGCAGGAGGAGUCUGAGGUGUCAGAGAAAAAAUCUAGCUCCUCGUCUCCCACCCAGAGUGAGACGCCCACCCCCUUACCCCCAGACACGCAGACCAACAAGAGAGAUGCCCAGACCUCCUCCGUCUCAGACGAUGAAAACAAGCCUCCUUCACCAAAGGAAAUAAGGAUUGAAGUUGAUGAAAGGCUUCACCUGGACAGUAACCCACUGAAGUGGAGUGUGGCCGAUGUCGUGCGGUUCAUCAGGUCCACUGACUGUGCUCCGUUGGCAAGAAUAUUCCUUGAUCAGGAAAUCGACGGGCAGGCCCUUUUGCUCCUUACCCUUCCCACUGUUCAAGAGUGCAUGGACUUAAAGUUGGGCCCCGCCAUCAAGCUUUGCCAUCACAUAGAGAGAAUCAAGUUUGCUUUUUAUGAGCAGUUUGCCAACUGAGAAGGACGAGCGACUGAGCUGGGUCUUUGAAGCACAGUGCAGCAAACCCUUCGCCCUGCUCUGCAGGUGACUGCAGGAGUCCUGGGCUGUCCUGUCGGCCUGCAAGUGGUGGCUUGCUAUCUUUGCACUUUCAGGGAAGGAGGACCCACACUGAGAAAGCAAAAACAGCACAAAAAUGGCUCUCUUACAGUGGAAAUAUGGACUUUUGUUUAGAAGAUUCCAGUUUAAAAAAAGUUGUGAGAAAACCGUAAAAGUCUGAAUUACCAUUAAUGGGACCUGAAAACAAAGAAUGAUGGUGACAGCUGGACAGCACCAAUUUGGUUAUUUUCAUUCUGUUCCUUCCCUCUGUAGAUUGGACUCUGUUCUCUGCUUUCUCUUUCUUGAAAAGAGAGGACAUAGCUUUAAGUCAGCACUGGUUGGGACUGUGCCUAAGGCACAUCAGUGCUUCAUUGUUGUGUUUUUAAGCUUUUUUAAAUUAAAGCAGUUCAUUUGGGGAUAAUUAAGUGGCUCUAGGGUUUUGAAUGUAUAGUCACACUUUGAUCCAUUUUAAAUCUAUUCUUAGGAGUUCCUUGGUUUACUACCUCUGUUGAUGACUGCGCUUACAGCCAUGAGUGACAUUUUUUUGUAUGAUGCCAUUUUUAAGCUGAAUGCUAAAACUAUGACAGAAAUUAGAGAAGGCACUGCCUGCUUUCUUAAAGAUAUCAUGCCGGCACUUACACCAUCAGUCCCUUAACCAAUUUGUCCUAAGAAUUCUACUGUUGUGUCCUCCAUCAUGACCCGGUUUUGGUCACCAUUGUUAAGUGGCUUUACAAAGACCAAUGGGUAAUUACUCUCUCCCUGUUAGUUCUGAAAAGUAUUUAAGUGGCUUUAUUUUAUGUUUAUUCUUCUGUUAGAGUUGUUUAACUACCUCUGUUUUAUUUCUGGAGUUUCUGCUCUCAGUGAAAAAUCAGUACGUGUUCUUUGGACCCACUGUCAAGCCCAUUUUUCUGGUUUUCUAGGUAUGUCCAGGUAGACACAUAGCACAGAAAUGUAUCUUUGGGGAUGGCACAAAGUAUGAAGUUCCUUAAUAGUGUCCUCGGUUAUGAGUACUGAGAGGUAGUUGAGUCUAUGACAAGCUACCCCAAAUGUCCCAGAUCUUAUCCUUCUGGAAAGCUAAGCAGGGCCUGGUUGGUACUUGGAUGGGAGAGGUGGUUAAGGAGUCUGGAUAUCUCUGUCUAGCCGCAUUUAUGCCUGUCUUCAGUUAAACCAACUUAAAUUGAAUGUAAUUACAGUCUGAAGAUUCCCACUCAGUAGCUCAUUCUUUUGAAGUUUUUUCUUUUUCUUUCUUUUUUUUUUUUUAAAUUAAACUCAAGUUGACAUGAAGUUCCAGGUGAAUUUUCACUUUCAAUGGCAUUGUUAGCUACUAUAGAAGAACAGCACUUGCUCUGCCACAGCUGUGAGUAAGGAAAGAUGUGUGUACACAGUUGCCUCUUUUGCUGUUUUCCUUGUUGAUUAUUUAUUUAUUUAUUUAUUUUUGAUUACCCUAAUUCCUACAGAUUUAUACCCUAAGCAUUUUUCCUCAAGAAUUGAAAAUGUUUUAAAACUGCAAACUGAGUAACUUCUGAACAAGUAUACAAAUAUAAGGUAAUAUUAUUACAAAUUUAAAUUGUGAAUUUUUUUUUCUUUUCUCAACUCAACCCCCACCUGUUUUUAUGGACACUGGGAAAGUCUGUAGUCUGAAUUCUCUUCUUCAUUGGAUAACCAUCUAACGAAGUCUGAAAGCAGUAGCUCUUCAUGUAGGGACCAACAGGAGUAUCUGGGAGGAAGCUCCAUUUACGUAAUGGUUCAUUUAUUUGAGCUUACUUAGAGAUCCAUCUUCUAAACAUGUGAUUCUUUCAUGCCAUGAAGAGAAGCAGGCGUGAUACUAGGAAACGGUAUUGGCAGACUGACAAGCCGUGGCUCUCUUCAUAGAAUCUCCUGAGACUGCAGGAGUUGAGUCACCGAUACAAAGGGAGUCUUGUGAGGACAUAAAACCUAUGCCUGUAGGAUCUUACAUUGUUACCUUAGUAAAAUGAAAGGUGACAGCAGUGGCUGUAACUUACUUUCUUCUUGACUCAGAUGACAGAAUGUAGAACUGUCAGAGUUGGCAGGGAUCGUGCCUGAAAGGGGAAGCACAUGACCGCCCCGCCCAAGAGGGGCUGGGGGGGGGGGCAGCCAUAACUCUUCAGUCUCUGCUUUCUCCUAUAGGAAGACCAGCCGUGAGUUAGACAAGAGGGGGCUUCCCUAAAUAUUUCUUGGCACUCUUAUUGGGAUGCAGUGUACUUGGCAGUCACAUCAAAGAAUUAUCUUCCCCAUCCCUUCUCACAGUAAGAGGAUAAUUCUAUGAGAAUUUUGCAGAGGACUUUUUUAAAGUAUAAAAUUGUAAUCCCAGACUGGGUGUGGUGAUAUAUAUACCUUUGAUCCCAGUGCUUGGGAAGUGGAAACGAGGCUCACAGUGAAUUCUAGGCCGGCCUGGGUUAUAUGAGACCCUGCCCUUUUUAAAAACUGUUUUUAUUUCAUGUAUCAAAGAGGCAGGGGUUAGGCUGGGUAGCAGUUCCGAUGCUGGGAUGGUUUAAGUUCGAUAAUAGCUUGCAUUGUUGGGGUAAGUGGCUUAUGUUGCUCAUUUGUAUGUGAAGUCUGUUUCUGAGACAGCCAGCCUCAAGCUUUUUAAAGGUAUGCUGUGAGGAGAGUGUGUGGAGUUCACCUGCAGCUGUCCUCAUAGCUUGCCUGCAAUCAAAUUUUUUAUGAUCCAUCUUUAACUUGAGUUGACAAACUUAGAAAUACAUGAAUGGACUAUACUGUCCUCCCAGACUUGGAAACUUAACUGACCAAAACUAGACUUUACAGCUAUAUUGGUCUUCUAGGGAAACCUUCAACUUUAUGUACAGAUUGGCUCUGAAAUUUUGAUCAUAUCUGCUGAUUUCCAUUGUGAAACAUCUUCAUCCUUUUCAAAUACAGGGAAUACAUUAAUAGAGCCUUUUAAUUACACCUUUAGCCUUUCUUUAACAAUUUAUACAGCUCCCUGUUUUUAUAAUACAGGUAUAGGAAGGGUACUGGCCAAGCUCUGGAAAUGAAGAUCUUGGUAAAUGUUUAUUAUUGUAUUUAAAAGAGGCAGACAUAGAAAACCAGUUUAGAGUUUGACCUUUGUAUGUCUCUUUGAGAAAUAAAAGUAUUUUCACUGAGGGAAAGGGCAUUAGACCAAAGUUUCCUGAAGACUUGAAUACAUUUCACAUGCUCUUUAGAACCACUUUAGUUACUGAUGUGAUGCCUGAAUAAGGCAAAUAGGAUGAAAACAUCCCACUCCUCUCAGCCCAACAUUGUUUCCAAGGGACACAGAACAUCGGGGGAGGGGGGAGUCUAAAUGAAAGGUAAUAGCAGUAUAACAACUUGUAAAAUCAUGAAAACUGUCACUGGGACUUACUCUUAGUUGGCACCUCUCACCAGAGCUUGUCCAGUUUGAGUGAUUGCCAACAGUGCUGGGAGAGUCGUUAGACUGGAAAUAACAGAGUGUGAACUUGCCUUACAUACUGGGCAUAUUCCAUGUGUGUGGAAAACCACCCGAGUUCCCAAGUGUUCUUAUGAAGUGAAGUAGAGAACUUGGGCAGACAAGAUGCUCCCUUUAUAAAUUUGGAUGUCUUUGGUCCUGGGAUCUUUGUAAGUUCUGUGUCUUAUGACCAUGAUGCUGGCUCAGAAACUCUGUAAGGACAGAGCCUCCUGUACAAACAAGAAAUAAUAGUCACUUUCCUGCUAUUGGUUUUAUUUACUUUAAAUGUUUUACUCAUGAACUUCGAUGAUUGCUUUGUAUGAGAAUGUAUGUACUUGGGGAAUUUGAAUUUAUUCUAAUAAGCUACCUAUUGACCUGGAGUUUUGUUGUAAGAACUCUAAACUCAAAGUCCAGUCCAAAUGGAUCUGGUUCCAGGUGCACUCUUUUGGGGUUGUUUUCCUUACUGCUUGUCUUCAGCCACAUGGGUGACUUUGCUCUGGGAACGGCCUUAGGCACACAGGUAGUGGGUGUCAAUGCAGCACAUGCUGAUUUUCUUGCCGCUGUGUUUAAGAAAUCAAAACUUUCUAAGAACCAGCAAAACCGGGAUGAAGGUUUGUAGGGGAGGUUGGGGGAUUAAAAAAAAGCAGGUCUAAAACUCUCAUAAUGCUUUUUUCUGACAAGUCUGGUGUGGUAGGUACCUACCAUGGUGAAGUGUUGUGAAAAAAAGACAAGCAACAGAUUGACCAGACGGUUGUCACUACCAGCAGUAAAGUGCAGAGUGGAGCCACAGGGAAGCAAGGAAGGAAGAAAGGGAGGGAGGGAACUUGUGUGAGAGGGGAACUGCUCUCAAGUGGAAACUCAGGCAGAAGGGUUCCUAGAUGGCUCAUUCUGUCUAUGUCUAGCUCAAGUCACAAUUAUUAGCAGAGGCUGAGAAGAAGCAGACAGUCUCUAGUCCUUUGUGAGAAUCUCUGAGGUUUUAACUGCUCACAUUUUCCUCCCACCUUCCUCCUUUUUUCCCCCUAAAGACAAUCAGGGGCUUGCCAGGAUGGGACUCCAGGCUGCUUCCAGCACCAUCCUUAGCCCUCUCUCCAGUACCCUCUCUUUGGAAGUAAUGCACUUUGUUUAAUGUAUUUUGCCUUUAAAAAAAAACAAAAGAAACAAAAAACAAGUUGCUUGUUUGGAACAAAAUGAGAUGCUUUCGGCACUGUAUCAUUCCUGCUUGCUGUUUUUCCUCUUAAUUUACAAUUUUAUGCAUUAAAGACAAAGUAUUCUUAAGGAGAAAUAUGCACAAGAAUACCUAUUAAAAUAACUCCCAUCAAGUUUGAUGGUAUAAUUUUUAAGGAUUAAAAACAGAACAAAAAUA